This 462-nucleotide ribosomal RNA is filed under the name uncultured bacterium. RNAcentral's name for it is "partial 16S ribosomal RNA". It matches the Rfam family "Bacterial small subunit ribosomal RNA", at positions 28 to 507 of the family's 1533-position model. The record is from RNAcentral.
GACGAACGCUGGCGGCGUGCUUAACACAUGCAAGUCGAGCGGUAAGGCCUUUCGGGGUACACGAGCGGCGAACGGGUGAGUAACACGUGGGUGAUCUGCCCUGCACUUCGGGAUAAGCCUGGGAAACUGGGUCUAAUACCGGAUAUGACCUCCUAUCGCAUGGUGGGUGGUGGAAAGAUUUAUCGGUGCAGGAUGGGCCCGCGGCCUAUCAGCUUGUUGGUGGGGUAAUGGCCUACCAAGGCGACGACGGGUAGCCGACCUGAGAGGGUGACCGGCCACACUGGGCCUGAGACACGGACCAGCCUCCUACGGGAGGCAGCAGUGGGGAAUAUUGCACAAUGGGCGAAAGCCUGAUGCAGCGACGCCGCGUGAGGGAUGACGGCCUUCGGGUUGUAAACCUCUUUCAGCAGGGACGAAGCGCAAGUGACGGUACCUGCAGAAGAAGCACCGGCUAACUACGUG